This 522-nucleotide ribosomal RNA is filed under the name uncultured bacterium. Its description in RNAcentral is "bacterial SSU rRNA". It matches the Rfam family "Bacterial small subunit ribosomal RNA", at positions 777 to 1304 of the family's 1533-position model. The record is from RNAcentral.
AAUAGAUACCCAGGUAGUCCACGCCGUAAACGAUGGAUACUAGCUGUUUGAGCGCAAGUUUGAGUGGCUAAGCGAAAGUGAUAAGUAUCCCACCUGGGGAGUACGGGCGCAAGCCUGAAACUCAAAGGAAUUGACGGGGGCCCGCACAAGCGGUGGAGCAUGUGGUUUAAUUCGAUNGAUACGCGAGGAACCUUACCAGGGCUUAAAUGUAGAUUGACGUAUUUGGAAACAGAUAUUUCUUCGGACAAUUUACAAGGUGCUGCAUGGUUGUCGUCAGCUCGUGCCGUGAGGUGUCAGGUUAAGUCCUAUAACGAGCGCAACCCCUGUUGUUAGUUGCCAGCGAGUAAUGUCGGGAACUCUAGCAAGACUGCCAGUGUAAACUGUGAGGAAGGUGGGGAUGACGUCAAAUCAUCACGGCCCUUACGUCCUGGGCCACACACGUGCUACAAUGGCCGGUACAGAGAGCAGCCACUUAGCGAUAAGGAGCGAAUCUAUAAAGCCGGUCACAGUUCGGAUCGGAGU